CCAGGCCCCAAACAAGAACGAAGCCGAUUUUUGUGUCUCCUCUCUUUAACUUUAUUUCAUCAAAUUAGCUCUUAAAAAAAAAAAAAAAAAGGAGGGGGAGAAAUAGUAGGAGUAGUACGGUAGAGGAAGCCUUCCUCGCCAACUUACGGAAACUUUUAAAGGGCUUGGGGGCUUUGAAAAGAAGCUUGUCUCCUUUUUCCAGAGUCGAAGGAGGAGGUGGUCGUGGCUUCUUCUAGAGGGGCACAGCUUUCCACCCUGUGGAUCACCACUUCGAACAAUGUCUCCAGAUUCUGAAAUGAAGAUGAGAAGGUGUCUUCUGCGGUGGUGAUCAUGGCCUGCAAAGAAGCAGAUUCUUCUGAAUUGAAACAGCAGUGAGCCUGACGCGCAUUCAUUUUUAAAGCUGGUAAUCUUGAGUAUCACAUCUUCUCUUCAAUGCGUGCUCAAAAAUUCCCAUUCAAAUCAUAUCCUAAGGACUGAGCCACGAGGAUCCACAGGAGCCCAUGAUAACUUAACUGUGGCAUGAUGGCCGCCCCUCCCACUCCAAACAAACCAGUGAAGGAUAAAAUGGAUUCACAUGUGCGCAAGGCUGCACCAUGAAAGUAAGAUGCUUCUCACUGCAUUCCACCAGAAAUGCACAGACGGCUUCUACAAUGACUUCACUCACUGCAUUGCAACACUGCACUCUGGCCAAGUGCUGGAGUUUGCUAAUUUGUGUGUUUUCACUGGAGACCUGCUGAUUCAAUCAUUCUAAAGAUGCCCAUUUCUUCCACGCCAGAGAUUUUAUGGCUCAGAGGAUUAGAAUCUUUUAUCCCAACAAACCCUGGAGCUCUAUAUAUUCUGAUUUUUAUGGUAAGCUUCUCUAAUAAACUGUUUAAAAC
Molecule: long non-coding RNA, 878 nt
Filed under: Salvator merianae (Argentine black and white tegu)
Lineage: Eukaryota; Metazoa; Chordata; Lepidosauria; Squamata; Teiidae
Description: lncRNA (ENSSMRG00000012676.1)
Source: RNAcentral